GAUCUACAAUUUGAUGAGUAAACCUCAAUGACUUAGAGGCGGGGCUAACUUACAAGACCCCAUCAGACCUCGAGUCAUGAGAAAAGCAGAGGGAGAUCCUAAGGGACCUCCGAAGGGCUAACCAAUAAGGACCCUCAACCUAUGAUACAAAGAUGAGAAAUUUACAAGAUGCUGCUCACAAGAUGAGCUGAGCACACACUGUCUCUCGCAUUAUAAGAAGUGCACAUACUGCUACUCACAAGAUGAGUAGUGCACAUGCUGCCUUUCGCAUAA
Molecule: long non-coding RNA, 273 nt
Filed under: Elaeis guineensis (African oil palm)
Lineage: Eukaryota; Viridiplantae; Streptophyta; Magnoliopsida; Arecales; Arecaceae
Description: long non-coding RNA (EGUI_LNC051265)
Source: RNAcentral